GACGAACGCUGGCGGCGUGGAUUAGGCAUGCAAGUCGAACGGUAUCAUCCUUUCGGGGGUGAGAGAGUGGCGAACUGGUGAGUAACACGUAGGUUAUCUACCCUCAAGACGGGGACAACCCAGGGAAACUUGGGCUAAUACCGGAUGUGAGCAACUUUUAGUUGUUUGAAAGGUGGCGUAAGCUGUCGCUUGGGGAUGAGCCUGCGUCCUAUUAGUUAGUUGGUGAGGUAACGGCUCACCUAGGCAAUGAUAGGUAGGCGGCCUUAACGGGUGGUCGCCCACACUGGGAUUGAGAUACGGCCCAGACUCCUACGGGAGGCAGCAGUCGAGAAUAGUCUACAAUGGUCGGAAGACUGAUAGUGCGACGCCGCGUGAACGAUGAAUCCCUUCGGGAUGUAAAGUUCUUUUAUAUGUGAGCAGUGCUUCUUAUAUUAACAGUAUGGGGAGAGAGAUAUUAGCAUAUGAAUAAGCAACGGCUAACUCCGUGCCAGCAGCCGCGGUAAA
Molecule: ribosomal RNA, 504 nt
Filed under: uncultured bacterium
Lineage: Bacteria
Description: bacterial SSU rRNA
Rfam family: Bacterial small subunit ribosomal RNA
Source: RNAcentral